CUUCACUACAACUUUGCAUUGAUUUUGAAUUUUUGAUGUGUAGGAUAGUUGGGAGACUUUGAAGCUGUGUCGCUAGGCAUGGUGGAGUCAUCGUUGAAAUACCAACCUUUAAACAUUUAGAAUCUAAUCCCUAACGGGAAACAGUGCAUGGUGGGUAGUUUGACUGGGGUGGUCGCCUCCUAAAAUGUAACGGAGGCUCGCAAAGGUUCCCUCAGUACGGUUGGUAAUCGUACAUAGAGCGUAUUAGUAUAAGGGAGCUUGACUGUGAGACUGACAAGUCGAGCAGGGACGAAAGUCGGCUAAAGUGAUCCGGUGGUUCUGUAUGGAAGGGCCAUCGCUCAAAGGAUAAAAGGUA
RNAcentral lists this ribosomal RNA (355 nucleotides) under uncultured organism. RNAcentral's name for it is "bacterial LSU rRNA". It matches the Rfam family "Bacterial large subunit ribosomal RNA", at positions 2099 to 2465 of the family's 2925-position model. The record is from RNAcentral.